GUCCUUGUUCUUGAAGCAAAAAUAAAAAAUAAAAAAAAGCAAGUGCUUUUGGAUUUUCACAGCUGCAAUAAUUUUUUUUAUGAAGAAUUCAUAUAAUGAGCCGAGUGACUAUUUUUUUCGUUAAAUUUGAGAGAUGUUGGAGUUGCAAUGUGGUGGAGGUUAAAGACAAGGUGCAUACAAGAGGAGACAAUGUUCACAUUUUUUUGGAUUUACGUGCAC
RNAcentral lists this long non-coding RNA (219 nucleotides) under Elaeis guineensis (African oil palm). RNAcentral describes it as "long non-coding RNA (EGUI_LNC008671)". The record is from RNAcentral. Lineage: Eukaryota; Viridiplantae; Streptophyta; Magnoliopsida; Arecales; Arecaceae.